GACGAACGCUGGCGGCGUGCUUAACACAUGCAAGUCGUACGGAAAGGCCCUUUCUUUGUUGCACGCUCGAGUAGCGAGCGGGUGAGUCAUGAGUGAGCUACCCGCCACUGUCUUAGGGCGAUAUUAAAGUGAUGCGGGUACUUACCGUAUAGGCGUUCCUCAUGGAGGGUGUGGGAUGGCUCGGUUCGGUGGUUGGGGACGCGCUGCCGGUUUACCAGUUUGUUGGUGGGGUAGUGGCUUACCAAGGCUUUGACGGGCGGCCGGCCUGGGGGGGUGACCGGCCACAUUGGGACUGGGAUACGGCCCAGACUCCUACGGGGGGCAGCAGUGGGGAAUAUUGCACAAUGGGCGGAGGCCUGAUGCAGCAACGCCGCGUGCGGGAUAACGGCCUUCGGGUGGUAACCCGCUUUCGCCGGUGACGAAGCGUGAGUGACGGUAAUGGGUAAAGAAGCACCGGCUAACUACGUG
Molecule: ribosomal RNA, 468 nt
Filed under: uncultured bacterium
Lineage: Bacteria
Description: partial 16S ribosomal RNA
Rfam family: Bacterial small subunit ribosomal RNA
Source: RNAcentral